UACAGAGGGUGCGAGCGUUAAUCGGAAUUACUGGGCGUAAAGCGUGCGUAGACGGUUGUCUAAGUCGGAUGUGAAAUCCCCGGGCUCAACCUGGGAAUUGCAUUCGAGACUGCAUAGCUAGGAUGCGGAAGAGGGAAGCGGAAUUUCCGGUGUAGCGGUGAAAUGCGUAGAUAUCGGGAGGAACACCGGUGGCGAAGGCGGCUCUCUGGACCACUACUGACGCUGAGGCGCGAAAGCUAGGGGAGCAAACAGG
This 253-nucleotide ribosomal RNA is filed under the name uncultured bacterium. RNAcentral describes it as "partial 16S ribosomal RNA". It matches the Rfam family "Bacterial small subunit ribosomal RNA", at positions 524 to 776 of the family's 1533-position model. The record is from RNAcentral.